AAAGUCGUAACAAGGUUUCCGUAGGUGAACCUGCGGAAGGAUCAUUAACAGAGUUAUGCCCCUUUAUUUAGGGGAGACCUCCAACCCUAUGUUUUUAACUUUGUUGCUUUGGCGGGUCGUAAACAGCUUUUUUAAUGGCUUUUUUCCCCACUGGCUUUAGGCUAGUGGUGUACCUGCCAGAGGAUACCAAAAACUCCGAGUUAUUUAGUGUUGUCCGAGUUACUAUUUACAAUAGUUAAAACUUUCAACAACGGAUCUCUUGGUUCUG
This 268-nucleotide unclassified non-coding RNA is filed under the name Ascomycota sp. RNAcentral's name for it is "partial contains small subunit ribosomal RNA, internal transcribed spacer 1, and 5.8S ribosomal RNA". The stretch from base 1 to 47 matches the Rfam family "Eukaryotic small subunit ribosomal RNA", at positions 1785 to 1831 of the family's 1831-position model. The record is from RNAcentral. Lineage: Eukaryota; Fungi; Ascomycota.